UACGUAGGUGGCAAGCGUUGUCCGGAAUUAUUGGGCGUAAAGCGAACGUAGGCGGUUUCUUAAGUCUGGUCUUAAAGACCGGGGCUCAACCCCGGGAAUGGAUUGGAUACUGGGAGACUAGAGGAUGUCAGAGGAAAGUGGAAUUCCAAGUGUAGCGGUGAAAUGCGUAGAUAUUUGGAGGAACACCAGUGGCGAAAGCGGCUUUCUGGGACAUUCCUGACGCUGAGGUUCGAAAGCUCGGGGAGCAAACAGG
This 253-nucleotide ribosomal RNA is filed under the name uncultured bacterium. Its description in RNAcentral is "partial 16S ribosomal RNA". It matches the Rfam family "Bacterial small subunit ribosomal RNA", at positions 524 to 776 of the family's 1533-position model. The record is from RNAcentral.